CCUUGUACACACCGCCCGUCACACCAUGGGAGUUAGGUUUUACCUGAAGGCGGUGCGCUAACCCGCAAGGGAGGCAGCCGACCACGGUAGGGUCAGCGACUGGGGUG
RNAcentral lists this ribosomal RNA (107 nucleotides) under uncultured bacterium. Its description in RNAcentral is "partial 16S ribosomal RNA". It matches the Rfam family "Bacterial small subunit ribosomal RNA", at positions 1379 to 1482 of the family's 1533-position model. The record is from RNAcentral.